UCUCUCUCUUCUUUCUCUCUCUAAAAGUGAAAAAACCCUAAUUUUGUCCACUUGUAGAAUCUUUUGGAUCUAUCUCUUUGGAGGUUUGGAUGAGAUUUAAGGCAUCAAGGAGAAGCAUUUGGAGGAAGAAGACAACCACCUCAAUCUAUACUUCUCCCAUUCGAAGAAGAAGAGGUUUUCUUGAUAUUCUUGAGAGAUCAAGGAGCAUCUUGAGAAAGAUCUAAAAAAAGAUUCUACCACCACCAGUGAGGCGCAAUACCGCAGCAACAGUGUUGUGGAGUAGUUUAGACUAAGUGAGAGGUUUAUAGUGUAUCUUUACAAGAACAAUAAAAAUUGUUAUAUUUUAGAAUGGUUUAAGAUGCUAUAACUUUAAAAAA
This is a long non-coding RNA of Ananas comosus (pineapple), 377 nucleotides long. RefSeq lists it as uncharacterized. The transcript is spliced from 3 exons. The record is from RefSeq and is a predicted model, not a curated record. Lineage: Eukaryota; Viridiplantae; Streptophyta; Magnoliopsida; Poales; Bromeliaceae.